GAAGCGCGAAAUGUAGUGUGAAUCGCAGAACAUCGUGAAUCAUCGAAUCUUUGAACGCACAUUGCGCCUCCCGUCGCAGGGAGGCAUGCCUGUCUGAGCGUCGUGAUAACCCAUACGUCCGGUCCACGGUCGUGUCUUGGGCCGUUCGUCGACGGGGUCUCCGUCGACGUGGCCUCGAAUCCAUCGGUCCAUGGUGAGCGGGCGAGCUUCCGCAGGGGAGGAACCGUUCAAGGGACCCUAAAGCCACUCGAAUUCGACCUCAGAUCAGGUAGGACUACCGCCUGAACUUAA
Molecule: unclassified non-coding RNA, 291 nt
Filed under: uncultured Archaeorhizomycetes
Lineage: Eukaryota; Fungi; Ascomycota; Archaeorhizomycetes
Description: sequence contains ITS1
Rfam family: 5.8S ribosomal RNA (bases 1-103)
Source: RNAcentral